UGUUAGCCUCUAACACUGUAAAAUUGAACACUUGGUCAGAUCUGGAAAGAAGCAGCCAAUUCAGCUAAUACAGGUGUUAUGAUAUAGCUAACAGAU
RNAcentral lists this signal recognition particle RNA (96 nucleotides) under Buchnera aphidicola (Brevicoryne brassicae). RNAcentral describes it as "signal recognition particle sRNA small type". It matches the Rfam family "Bacterial small signal recognition particle RNA". From Rfam's summary of the family: The signal recognition particle (SRP) is a universally conserved ribonucleoprotein involved in the co-translational targeting of proteins to membranes. Archaeal SRP consists of a 7S RNA and homologues of the eukaryotic SRP19 and SRP54 proteins. The record is from RNAcentral. Lineage: Bacteria; Pseudomonadati; Pseudomonadota; Gammaproteobacteria; Enterobacterales; Erwiniaceae.